RNAcentral lists this ribosomal RNA (513 nucleotides) under uncultured bacterium. RNAcentral's name for it is "partial 16S ribosomal RNA". It matches the Rfam family "Bacterial small subunit ribosomal RNA", at positions 28 to 523 of the family's 1533-position model. The record is from RNAcentral.
GACGAACGCUGGCGGCAUGCCUAAUACAUGCAAGUCGAGCGAACAGAUGAAGUGCUUGCACUUCUGACGUUAGCGGCGAACGGGUGAGUAACACGUAAGGAAUCUACCUAUAAGCGGGGGAUAACAUUCGGAAACGGGUGCUAAUACCGCAUAAUAUCUUCUUCCGCAUGGAAGAAGAUUGAAAGACGGCUCUGCUGUCACUUAUAGAUGACCUUGCGGUGCAUUAGUUAGUUGGUGGGGUAACGGCCUACCAAGACGAUGAUGCAUAGCCGACCUGAGAGGGUGAUCGGCCACAUUGGGACUGAGACACGGCCCAAACUCCUACGGGAGGCAGCAGUAGGGAAUCUACCGCAAUGGGCGAAAGCCUGACGGAGCAAUGCCGCGUGAGUGAAGAAUGCCUUCGGGUCGUAAAACUCUGUUAUAAGAGAAGAACAAAUUGUAGAGUAACUGCUACAGUCUUGACGGUAUCUUAUCAGAAAGCCACGGCUAACUACGUGCCAGCCGCCGCGGUAA